CGGGGUGCAGCAGGCGCGAAAACUUUACACUGCGGGAAACCGCGAUAAGGGGACCCCGAGUGCCAGCACCUAGUGCUGGCUGUCCAGUUGUCCAAAUAACAACUGUUAGCAAGGGCCGGGCAAGACCGGUGCCAGCCGCCGCGGUAACACCGGCGGCCCGAGUGGUAGCCGCUAUUAUUGGGUUUAAAGGGUCCGUAGCCGGCUUAUUAAGUCUUUUGGGAAAUCUGGCGGCUCAAUCGUCAGGCGUCCAAAAGGUACUGGUAGGCUUGGGACCGGGAGAGGUGGGAGGUACUCCAGGGGUAGGGGUGAAAUCUCGUAAUCCUUGGGGGACCACCGAUGGCGAAGGCAUCCCACCAGAACGGGUCCGACGGUGAGGGACGAAAGCUGGGGGCACGAACCGGAUUAGAUACCCGGGUAGUCCCAGCUGUAAACGAUGCUCGCUAGGUGCCAGGUGCGGUGCGACCGCAUCUGGUGCCGCAGUGAAAACUUGAAGCGAGUCACCUGGGAAGUACGGUCGCAAGGCUGAAACUUAAAGGAAUUGGCGGGGGAGCAC
This 553-nucleotide ribosomal RNA is filed under the name uncultured archaeon. RNAcentral describes it as "bacterial SSU rRNA". It matches the Rfam family "Archaeal small subunit ribosomal RNA", at positions 326 to 879 of the family's 1478-position model. The record is from RNAcentral.